CCACGAGCAAGCCGACACCGAAGAACAGCCGGAGUGCCCAGGGAUUUGUUUUAAAGGCAAAUUAUUAGACAAUCAAAAUACGUGGAUCCAGUGGUUGUGAAGAACGGUGCCAGUGAAGAAGUGGUCAUCUCUCGUUGCUUUCGUACUGCUUCAUGAACGUAUACUGAAUGUAUCCUGAGUGCUAUCUAUCCGGUAUACCUUCAGUAUACGUAACAGGAGGCGGUACAUUCAUCUUUAAUCAGGCAACAUUCCAACGCGAACACUUGAACUCGAUUAGCAGCUGCCUUCAGUGAAAGUGCUCCAUUUGCUACAUUUCUGUGAAAUCAAAGUCUUAUCGCGAGUAGUCUAUAUCAGCAAAUUAGGUUUUUUUUCAUCGACGUCAGUUGUGGAUGC
This is a long non-coding RNA of Topomyia yanbarensis, 393 nucleotides long. RefSeq lists it as uncharacterized. Lineage: Eukaryota; Metazoa; Arthropoda; Insecta; Diptera; Culicidae. The transcript has 3 exons. The record is from RefSeq and is a predicted model, not a curated record.